UUCUUUCAUGCCAAUAAGCAUCAAUACUGGAACUUUUCCUGGAACCCCAGCAGUGAGGCUCAUCGGUGACUGCCAUUUCCUUCACAGAUUAUGCCAACUUCUGCUUUUCUGUUUUUUCUUUCGGCGGCGAACUCAAGUACCUCGUUUUGCUGGAGGUACACAGCGAAAUCCCACUGAUACAAAUGUGCCAAAACCUCAGUCUGGUGCUCCUGGCAAGGUGGAGGAGAUCAACUCUGUUUCUUCAAAGCCAGCACCAGCUGCGGUUCGGUCGGAUGAAGGUCAGGCAGUUCGAGGUAGUCAGGUAGUGCCUGGAGCUAAAGCAGUCGAAGAGGGACCUGCUGGCAGGCACAGAGUAGGCAGUGGCAAUGCUGGCCAAGGAUACAGUUCUGAGGAGGUAGAAACUGUUGCUCUUUAAUUUCUUCUAGUCUUCACAUGUUACGAAGAAUCUUCAUUAGACUUUUGGUUUCUUAACUGGCUAAAUUGCUUUACUUUCAAGUCAAUUGCUCAGUGUUUGGUCAUCAGAAAGGUUUUGAUAGUUCUCUCGGUUAAGGAAACAAUCAUUCAAUCAGCAGUGGUUCUCUAGAUUAAGAUAAAGGCUCAUUCUUUGGCGCAAUGCAGGUGAAGGUCCUUUUCCUCAUUCUCAUGGAUCUGUGUCGGCGAACAGCAGCUCUGGUACACCCAUUGCCGGUUUCUCAAGUAGGAAGCAGCAAUAUCCAGGUGCGGUUGCAUUAUAUUGAUGGCAAUUAUACUGUAUUGCCAGAGGUUGUAGAAGCAUCUCUUGGCCCGCAUAUGCAGGUAUCUAUGCUUAUGAUUUACUCCUGUAAAUGAACCUUUGGUUGUUUGGAAGUUGCUUUCUUUUCUUUCUUUUUUCUUUUUUGACCGGGAUAACCCUCCACUUUUCCUUCUGUAUUAUUUUUUGGACAAGCAACUGUUUUGUUAACUUUAUGUAACAUUUUGUUGUGGAAUCCACAGAACAUGCCACGGCCCAGAGGUGCAGAUGCUGCUGGUCUGUUACUCCGAGAGUUAGAACUACACCCUCCAUCUGAAGAGUGGCACAGGCGGAAUAUGUUUGGCGGACCCUGGUCUGAUCCAGAGGAUAUUGGUUCAGAGGAUACUUCUAAGCUUAACUCCACAGAUUCACUUGAUUUUAGCUCACUGGAAAAUUGUGAUGUUUAUUACGGAGCUCAUGGCCUUUGGCCUAGGAAGCGCAGACUGUCUGAAAGAGAUGCAGCUGUUGGCUUGAACACCUCUGCAGGCCUGGGAGCAUAUCUUGGCAUAAUGGGUUCUCGAAGAGAUGUUGUUACUGCAGUGUGGAAGACUGGUCUUGAAGGCGUUUGGUACAAGGUCACUCCAUUUUUCUUCUUCCUCUCUUAUUUGAAUAUUUUUUUGUUUGGAUCUUGUCAGUCAUUUUUAUUUUUGUUAUUCAGCCAUCUUUUCUCUAGGAUUACUGAAUUAAAAAGGAAAAUCCAUUUUUAUGUUAUUGGUAAGUUUGUGUCAUGUAUCUAGAAGAAGGUACUCAACAUAAUUAAGCCUUGAAGUUAAUUUAGUGGUUGCAAGCUAGUGAAUUAUAUUCCCCUGUUAUCCCCUAUACACUGCUGCAUCCACCACAAGAUGCUUAAAACCCAAUUCCCUUAAUACCUACGUAGUUUUAGUCUGGUCCUGUACCAGUACACCCAAGAGUUCUCACAGCACACGGAUAAUCCCAUGAAGGGAUUCCUUGAGUUAUGGAUCUCUUUCCUUGGUAACCAUGAGGUGGAAGGGACGUAGUUGGCUGUAAAUGCAUAAUGCAAUUGAAUUUUUGGCCCGGUGUGUUUUUGUGAUUCACAAGGAAAUCAACGAUCAUCCCUCAUGCAUAAUCCAUUAAACACUCUAAUUUGGAUAUUACUUAAGAGUUUAUGGUAUUAAUGAUAUCACUGGAGAUAUAUAAUGGUGUUGGGUUGAUGUUAGGAGCUGAAAACAUGCCCAAAGAUACAUGCUCCUUGAGCUCUACUUCCCCUACUCACAUAAGAGGAGGAUCAACCAUGAUUACUCACGGAUCCGACUCUAUGUGAGUGGAGCUGUUCUCUGGGAGUGCUGAAUUAUAUUUCCUUGGACACGAGGAUGAAUGGUCAAGAGGUGAUUUACUAGGUUUUGGUUCUCGUGGUUCAUAAUAUGGAAAUGGUCCGACAUUAUUUUCAAUGUAAUUGUGGUGCUAGGGAAUGAAACAUGUGAACUGCUUUGUUUAUGAUAAGAUAUCUUUCUCUUGCAUAAUAUGUUUCCAUCAGAGAUAAGAAUCUGCAAAGGAAUAACCUCAAUCAUAAAUUUUCUCUCUCUUGACAUAUAACCAUUCAUAUGUUUAUUUCAGUUGCAAAUCCUCUGCCCUCUCUGCAUGCGUGGAUCUGCCUGUAAUCUAUUAUACUUAUCUAACAUUAUUGCUAUUAAUGCAGUGCAUAAGAUGUUUGCGGCAGACUUCGGCUUUGGCCUCCCCUUGUGCUGCAAAUCCACCAGAUCAAAAUGAAAGAGAGGCUUGGUGGAUCAGCCGUUGGGCUUAUGGCUGUCCGAUGUGUGGGGGGACAUGGGUUCGAGUUGUAUAGACGAGACUGCAAUCACAAAUGUUAAUUAGAUGCAGCUUUCCACUUUCAUGACAAUCAAUUCAAGGUGGUGCAUGCAUGACUGCAAUGUUAAUUAGCCGCGGCUUUCCACUUUCAUGACAAUCAAUUCAAGGCAAGCGCAUGCAGUAGCUGAUGUUGAAGAAAGCAGCACUCUUUGAUGGUAGUAUAUUAUAUGUUCCUUUUUGUAGUUGCUGGUUGGAGCUUGGAAGUAAAGAGGGGCCGUUAGCCUUGCAGAAGUGGAAAUUCAUCCGUUCAUCGUAUGCAUCAGCUGUCUGGUGUUUAUGUAACAGCGUUUAAGUUCCUCAGCUCGACAGCAACAGUUUUGGAAGGAAGGCUUGUGUUUUGGAAAAUAUUCAGGAGAGCUCCAUUAGUGAAGGUUCCCAGCAUUUCACAUAUAACAUUUGCUUUUCCUUUUAAUGGAAGUGACAUUACCUGUACAUUAUAGAUACGAGAAAUUGACAAGGAUAGCAGGUGUGAAUGUAAUAGAUCCAUGUCUGUUUGAGACAACAUUAAUCAUUUAUUACUAUGAUGCCCUGGUUUUUCAAGUUGCAGCAUCCAAUAAAAAAUGUCCAAUCUUGUUAACCCAUCAAAAAGAUUCACAUCCUGUCUCUCUGCAAAAUUUGAGCUUGUUAUUUUCAUCUAACCAUCAAAUGUUUCUUUGGUCGAGCACGCGACAUGUUGUAGAACAAGAAAUCAGAGCACACUUGGUUGGAUCCACCCUUUUCACCCGGUGGGUAUUUAAUAACUUGUGUUUUUUUUUUUUCCUGAAACUAUUAUUUAUCCUACUAUAUUAUAACAAAAAUAAUCUAUUGUAAAAUUAGAACCAAUCUAAUUUCGGAAGUUUGUUUGAGACAUCUCGUGCAAAUCAAAAUUAAAUAAUUUAUAAGAUUUAAUUUCCAACCUAUUGAAAUAUUUAAUUAAAAAAAAUAAUUAAAAAAUAAAUUAGAGAAUAAUUUUGGAUUUAUUAUAACAAAUGUUAAAUGAUAUGAAAAAAUCACUGUAAAUUAAAAAAUCUUUAUUAUAAAUUGUAAUAAUAGUUUUAUUUUUUUAUUUUAUUUUUUCUUGAGAUAUUUGUUUGUGUUUUUUUUCUUUUCUCUCUUUAUACAUAUACAUAGAUUAGAUAUUCACUAGUUACAUGCCCCGCGCGAUGCCGCGGGUCAAUUAUUUUUUGCAUUGAAAAAAAGCCAAGAUCUAAAAAUUUUAGGUUUUUUUACAAAGUUAUACUCAAAAGUCUUAUGUUUGGUUGCAACGCCUGACCCAAGAGUAAUAUUAAACUUGAGUUAACACUUAGCAUAAAAGUGUCUGGACUGCAAUACUAGACCCAAUAACAUUGGACGUGAGUCUGGCUGCAAUGUCGUGUUAUAAAGUGUGAUAAUUAAAUAAAUUAGUUAAAAAGAAAAAAAAAACAAAGAAAAAAAAACCAAUAGGAAGAAAAAAAACUAAUGAAGACAGAAAAAAAAAUGAAAAAAACUAAUGAAGAAAAAAAAAUUUUUGUUAAAAGAAAAAAAAAACAAAGAAAGAAGCAGAAGCAAAAAAAAUCCCAAAACACAUAAAAAAAAACUAAAAAUAAUAAUACAACUAAAAAAACCUAAAGAAUUAAUUUUAAAGAAGCCAAUAUUUUACUAUAGAUUGCAGUAUACAGUCCAGUAAAAUACUUACUCCUUUUAGCUAUUGUUAUUAUAAUUAACUUAUUGCAAGACUUCCAAGAAUAGUCUGUAACACGUGUGCACCAUAGCUUUGAUUUUGUAUGAAAUGGAUUUUUCUCCACGGAAUAAUCAUGAUGGGUGGGCUUUAUUAUCUAUAGUUGUUUCUCGUCAAAACUCUAAGAUGAUUAUUAGGUCUAGUAUUUUUUUUAAGUAUUGUGAUAUAAAAUAUAUUUUUUAAAUAAUUUUUUAUUUAAAAUAUAUUUAAAUAUUUUUAUAAAUUUUUUAUUAUUUUACAUUAACACAUUAAAAUCAUAAAAAACAAUAAAAAAUUAUUAAUUUGAUAUUUGUUUAAAAAAUAAUAUACUUUUACCAUACAUGUAAAAGCAAAAUCUAAUGCACUCCUUAAAUAUUUAGGGAUGUUAAGGAGAAUAGUAGAUAUUAUUUUUUAAAAUGAUUUUUAUUGAGAAAUAUAAUAAAAUAAUUAUUUUUUGAUAUUAACACAUUAAAACGAUCUAAAUACAAAAACAAAAUAAUUUUAAGUAGAAAACAAUUUAGCCAACCAUUCUUGAGUUUAUCUUUGAAAAAUUCAAUGCCUGUAAUUAUAUAAGUUUCAAAUCAAGUGUCUUUACUUUUGUGUUUUUGUGUAUCUAUAUCUCUAUUUUUUAAUAUAUAUAUAUAUAUAUAUAUAUUAACUUUUUUUAUCAAUUUUUAUUUUUUAAAUUGGAACCGUCCAAACUAUAUUUUAAAAUAAACGCAGCCAAUAAUCUUGUAACUUCUAUUGCUUGAUGAAUCAAACUACAUAUAAUCAUAUACUUAUUUAUCCAAAUUAAAACAAUAGAAGUGUUUUCAUCAAAAUCAAUACCAUAAAAAACCUUUCAUGUUUUUUAAAAAUAUUUUUUAUUUAAAAGUAUAUAUAUAUUUUUUUAACAUUAACACAUCAAAAUUAUCAGAAAAAUAUAAAAAAAUUAAUUUAAUAUUUUUUUAAUCCAACCAUAGUUUUUUAAAACGCAAUCAAGUAAAAUUUCAAACGCAAUAUCAAUCACAAAUCAACAAUGAUACUAUGUAAACAGACCUAGAUAAAUAACCCAAUUAUAAGAGGCUGAAACAAUUGGCAAAUUACUUAGCUAAUGGCCCGUUACCUAUAAAGCCAAAUAAGACCCAUCAUUCAACACUAAAUGCUCCGACAAGUCAUUCAUUUUGGGCUACCAAGUGGACUAUAAAUCGAGUUGUUUAUGAGCCGGGAUUGACCAAACCAGGCCCAACUUAACGAUUAUUGAUUUACUUGUACCCACCAAGAGCAUGUUCUUAUUACCUGAAGUGAAGUUGAAUUGUUUAUAAAUAAAUAAUUGUGAAUGUUUAUUAUAUAAACAUGUUUUAUUUUAAAAUAAUCAUAUUUAAAUUUUGAUAAUUAUUAUUAAAUUAAUUAAUUUGCUUUGUGAAUUAUAUAAAAUAGUUUUAAACUAGAUUUAAGUAAAAAUUAGGAAAAAGAUUGAAUUAUCUUUCAAAAUUUAAUAAAACAUAGUUAGGAUAAAUAUAUAUAACUCUUAAAAAUAAUAAUUACAAGAAAUUCCUCACUUGAUGUUAUAUUAUUAAAAAUUAUUAUUUUUAACAAUUAUUUUCAAUUAUAUAUGAUGAUGUGUAUAAAUUAACAUUACACAUAUGAAUAAAAGUUUUAAGAAUUAUUUUUUAAUAAAUUUGUCUUUUUAAUACCAUCAUUAUCAUUGUCACUAUUUUUCCUAAAUAGUAAAAAACAAUGAAAUUCAAUAAACAAAAAUAACAUGUAAAAAUCAAUUAAGGUUUCAGUUUAAUAAUUUGAUGAAUUUUUUAUGUGAUUUUUAUUUUUAUAUUUUAUUACUUCAUUUUUAAUUAGCUUGAUUUUAAGUUUUUCUAGGGUUGUGAUGGUAAAAAUAAAGUUCCAAUAUAGUGUUAUAUAAUAUAAGGGUGAUUUAAGUAGUUGAUUUUAUGAAUAAAACUAUAAUAAAAAAAUAAAAAAUAUCUUAUAUUUUAGGAUUCAUUUUUUUAAAAAAACAUACUUUUUAGAAAAUUAAUAUUUUUAAAGAAUUUUACUAAUAUUAAUAUUUUCUUAAGGAUAUAAUAUUUAAUAAAUUUUUUUAAAAUAAUCAUGCUUUUAUACAUAAUUAUAAAUUGAUUUUAUGAUUUAAGAAGUAUCUAAGUUUUAACUCAGAUAUAAAUAUAGAUUUUUCUUGAUAUUAGUGAGAUGCAAAACACAAUAUUUCAUAUUGAAUGUGAUUCGAACAUCUAUUUUUGUAAAACAAAAAAAAAAAAAUGAAAAGUAAGUAAACUAGAUCAUAUCAUUUUUUCCUCCAUAAAAAAAAUGUUUUUUUUAUAUAAUUCAUUGUUCGUUCACGAGUCUACAAGAAACGUAAAACAAAAUAGAUUAACAUGAUUCAAGAGUUGAUAUCAUUGAAGGAAAUAUUCAUUGAGUUCUAUUUAAGUUAGGCUGCUUUGACUAUUUCUUGAUGGAUUUUUAUUUAUUAGUCAAACUUGUUGAAGCUAAACCAAUGACUUUUGUAAGCUUUAUUCAUAUCACUCUUUGUUUGCUUCUUAUGAUGGGCAAGUGCAAUGCACUAAUCUCCUCUUAUAUCUUUAUCCGCAUGAUGGAUCAAUAUUUUUUGGCAUCAUGAAAAACUAUUUUUCAAGCUUAAGUCCUUGUUUAAAAGAUCUAAAAACAAGAUAGUAACCUAUUAAUAUGUGGGAAGGGCUUGCUUUCAUAUCCAACAUCCAUAAGCUUGGUAGAAUGUUAGACUCAAAUGACAUAGCUCUAACUCGCUUCCAGACCCCACAUUCCUGGGUAUGGCUACAAGCCAAGCCAAAAUAGGCAUAGGUCUUGCGAGUCGCCAGAACCACUGCCUUUAAUCAUUGGCACUAUGCCAAGCCCAAGUGGGUAUGGGUUUGGCGAGUUACAAAACCAAUCAUCUUUGGGUUUGGAAGCGCACUGAGUCUAAUUACACAUGAGUUUGACAUGCUAUUAGACUUGUUGACUAUGAGCUUAAUAAUGUGCCUAACAUAAAAAAAGUUUAAGGACUACAGGUCAUUAUAGACCCCAUGUUGGACUAUAAGACUUUGUUUGUUUAUUAUUAUGACUUUAACAUAAAAUGUUAGUGUCAGGGAUAUCUAUCUCCCUACCCCCAUAGAUGUAUAAAAAAUAUCGUAAUGACCUACCAUAUUUCCAUCUUAUUAUUGUGUAAGAGAUAUUUAUCUAUCAUUAAUAUUGUGUAAUGAAUAUUUAUUCAUCAUUAAUGUUAACAGGAGGAAAUGACUCUUUAAACCCUUUACUUUAGCAUAAUGAUAAGGUUUAGGGGUUAUAAAUACUCCCUGAACUUUCCAGGUAAAAGGUUCACAAUAUUAUUCUCUAGACACUAUACUUUUAAAUCUCAGAAUAUUUAUCAUACAAAAACCAAGAACAAACACUCUUGUUUUUGGAUUUAAUGCUCAUUCUCUCAUUUAUUGCUAUUCUAUUCUUAAAAGUUAUUGACUUUAUUAUUUGAGGGUCCAUAAACUCCACCAACAAGAAUUGUUUUGCAGGUGUAAGGCUUUUUACCACUAGUUAUCCACUUUCUAAGUUCUGGAGAACGAAAUAUUGACACAAACAUAUGAUUACCCAUUAUCCAAAUACCAAAAAAUCUCAUUCCUAAGCAUAUUGGAUUUUGAAACGUCAUCAUUUGGCUCCAUUUAUGGGAACAAGUUCAAAAAGCCAUCAACUCUUUUUUAGGUUUGGCUCUUGACCUUUAUGAGCUAGUCUAUGACAAACAAUCAAGAUAUACCUAUGAUGAGAUGUGUCACGGACCUCCCUAUAAUUGUUGGCAUUUCUACCUCAUUAGAACUUCAAAAACUCUUUAAUUAGGUCUGACUCCUUACUGAGGUAGUGCUUUUAAACUAAAUCAAUAACAAUUAUUGAUAGAUUUCUCCUCACCUAUAAAUACAAUUUUGCUUUCAAAACUUCAGAUAUGUUAGGGAUUAAUCCGAAAAUAGUUGCUUAUAGACUUCAAGUCAGUAUAUGAGAGAAAUUUUAGAGGGGAAAUAUAACAUGUAAUAAUUAUAAAAAUGGAUAAACUUUUAGCUACUAGGUUUAUUCAUGAGAUCAUGUAUCUUGAUUGGUUAACUAAUGUGGUCAUGGUGAAAAAAAAGUAUUGGAAAGUAGAGGAUGGGUGUGUAUUUCACUAACUUAAACAAGACAUGUCCAAAUGAUAUUUUUUCUCUCAUAAAGAUUGAUAGAUUGGAAGACUGACUCUAUAAUAGACUUUGAGUUCUUAAGUUUCUUGGAUAUAAUUCAGGGUACCAUCAAAUCCAUAUUUAUCUAGAAUAGAAGGAGAAGACUUAUUUCAUUACUGAAAGAGGAACUUUUUGCUACAAGGCAAUGCCUUUUGGUUUGAAAAAUAUAACGACUACUUAUUAGCAUAUGGUUAAAAAAAUGUUUAAGCAUUAAAUUAGAGGACCAUUUAAAGAUACGUGGAUGACAUGCUAGUGAAUAACAUGAUUUUUGAGCAACAUCUUAAGGAUCUAGAAGACAUAUUUUUUUUUUUGGACAGGUGUUAUAUAAAUCUUAACCUCUUCAAAUAAUAUGUUAACCAUAAGAGGAGGAAAUGUUUUGGAUUUCCUAGUCAACAACAAAGGAAUAAAGUCAACAACAAAGGAAUAAAGUCCGACCCUUAGAAGAUUCAGGCAAUACUGGAUAUAACUCCCCCUUAGAAUGUUUCACUGGAAGACUAGCCGCAAAUUUAUAUGUAGGCUAAGGAAACACAAUCGGUAUUUCUUCAAAGCUUUGAAAAAUAUCAUUAACUUUGAAUGGACACUAGAAUGUAUAAAAAGGUUUUGAAGAGCUCAAAGUGUAUCUUUUCACUCUUAAGAUCUUGUCACAAUCACGAGAAAGUGAGAGUUUGUUCCUCUGCCUUGGGAUUUUUAUUCAGGUAAUUAUUGUGGGGUUCUAAUAGACUAAAACCUAUAUGAUUUUGCCAUAGAACUAUUGGUUUUGAGUUUAUGUGGUUUUGUAGGAAACUUAGAGACCAAGGUGAGGUGUUUUCUACCUUUAGAUCUAUAUAGAAAUGUUUUAAACCCUUGACGGGAACUUUCCAGGGGUUUCUAAGUGGGAGCAUAUGAAAAGUUAGGUGGUUUUCUGUAAACGAGUGUCUUUGUCGAGGUUGAUCGGGGUAGUCACUUUCAUGGCUUCGUCAGAGCAACUCCGACAUCAACGUUGUCUGAGACCACUUGAACUUGGUAAAGAGGGUGCACAUCUUUCAAUCAGAUCCAUUUUUGCUUGAUUUGGAGGUUUGUAUCUCCACAUUCAAACAUUUGAAAGUGUCAACUCAAACAGUGUGGUGAUUGAAAUUGUAAUGCUGGUUGACUAAUGACAAGAUGUUGUGGGGAUCAAUAGAGAAUAAGGGAUGUAAACGUUUGAUUUUAAAGGCAUAUGGUUGUAGAAAUGGUGUUUCUUAGUUGAAUGGUGGUUAUUGCAGCCUUUGGGGUGGUCGAAAACAUCACAUUCAUUCGCCUGAAAAUGCAUACUCGAUCAACCAAAAACGGAAGAAGAAGAUGCACAGUACCUUGAACAAUGCAGUUUUGACUAAUUCUUACAGAUUAAGCUUUUUUUAAUAUAGGAUCUGACAAUUUUUAAUUUAAUUCCUAUUCUUCUGAUUUUGUUUGAUUUUACUUAUAAUUUCCCUCUAACUUUCUAAUUUCGUGCAAUUGCGUCCCUACCAGAUUCAUUUGUUAGCCCUUUUACAAGUUGAUCAUUGAUCUCUGAUUUGUUCAAUUAGACUCUUAGAUGACCACCAAACUUUUAAUUAUCUUUGAUUUGACCCUGAUUUCUCCUGAUUCAAGUCCCUAAAGUCACAUGCGUUUUGCAAGUUGAUUCUUAGUCCACAAAUUAUUCAAUUAAGUCCCCAUUUGCUUACCAGACUUUUUAUUUUAUGCAAUUAAGCCCCUGAUUUGCCUAAUUAAACUUUUCAAAAUCUAACUUUGGUCCUUAAACUUCAUUUGUUUUAAUUGACAUCAAAAUUAACUUUUAAAAGUUAAUUUCCCUUACAAUUAAACCUUCAAUAAUUUUAAUUACACCUUUUAAAAUUUCAAUUGAAUUGUUAAAUACUUAAAACAAAAGUUUUACCAAUAGCCCUAUGAUUAAAAUCUUGGAUUACUAAUUUGGACAUUUUGAUCUAUCAACUUCCACUAGGUGUUCUAGUUUUCUACCAUUAAACUUGAACAAUUUUGUUUUAGAUUGUUCAAAUGUAUUUUCUUGUGUAUAUUUUAUUUAUUUAUUAUUGAAAAGAUAGAAACAAUAUAUAUACAUCAAUUUUGAAACGAUAAUUAUUUAAUCCAUGCUCCUUUUCUUAAACUUUUUUAAUCUUAGAGGUAAGAAAUAACCAAAAAAAAGAGAGGAAACGUCUCCUUUCUCUCUGUUUCUCUCGAUAACUAGGAGAGUAUGGAAACACCUGGAUGGAAUCUUAGUAUCUCCCUCUGUCUCUCUUCUUUGAAACAAAAACCCUAAAAAACUAAAAUCCAAAAAAAAAAAAAUAACACACCAAAAUCCCACUCGAGCCCCACUCUCUCUUCUCUGUCUCUCCCUCUGUCUCUCUUCUUUGAAACAAAAACCCUAAAAAAAUAAAAUCCAAAAAAAUAAAAUAAAAAUAACACACCAAAAUCCCACUCUAGCCCCACUCUCUCUCUCUCCCACUCUAAACAGUCGGUAAUACCUGUCGCCUUCAAAUGUGACUUUUGCACCACUGACAACAUUCAUUUUUCUUUUUCUCUAUAUAAAGACUCGGUUUUUAUUUUUCAAAAAUGACUUCUUCUUCUUCUAUUAAGGAGACAACGGAGGAGGAGCAGGUUCCGCCGGAUAUUGUACCGGCUGACGGUGGUGUUGGUGGAGUGGAGAAGAUUGAGCCUGUCAGUAGUGGGGGAGAGCAAGAGAGUGGUGGUGAGAAACUUGACGAUUCAAUGGAAGAGGACUCAGUGAGUUCGGCUACUGUGUUUUGUAUUAGGCUGAAACAGCCACGGUCGAAUUUGCAGCAUAAAAUGAGUGUGCCUGAGCUUUGUCGCAAAUUUAGGUCAGUUUUAGGUAGUUUAUGAAAUAAUGCAAGUGUUCUAUUCGAUUCUUCAAGUGAGUCGUGUUUGUAUAUGGAAGUUGUUCAGUCUCUAAACUUCGUGGGUUUUAAGCGAAACUUUAUUAAAGGUUUAGUGUUUUCACUCUGUUGAUUGGAGCACAGGCUCGUCUUUUAUUGAAAUUUGAGUUUUUUCUUCUGCAAUUUGAGCUUAUCAGUAAUCGCUAUUGGUUAGGGUUCUUUUACUUAUCAAAAUGUGUUUUUUUGAGUAGUUUUAUGGAAGUUGGGUUUCUUAUUUGUUUAAAUCUUUAGAUACCUGGAGUCCUUCAAGUGGUAUUUAUGCUUUGAUUUUGUUGGUUUUGAUGCUCUGUAGUUAGUGUAGGGAGUAAAAGUGAGUUUAGGACGAGCGAGAAAUCAAGUUUGGAAAAAUAUGAUAGAGAACGAGAUUUUUAGAAUUGAUUGGUGGAUAUGUACAGGAUACAAUGAAGUUAUUUGGUAUAUGCUAUAUAGAAGCUUGCUUUUGUGUUUUGAUUAAAUAUUGAAAAUCACCAUCUUCACACUUGUAUCAGGGUGAUAAAUCUUUCUAUUUCUGCAAUUUCUAGUGUUGACCUAUUAUGAGAAUGGCAUUUUUUGGCAGAAAAAAUAUGCAUUCCUAACAUACGAUCUGCCAUGGGAGGCCAAAAUAGAACAGAAGGUAGCACAACGGGAAAUUGUAGAUUUUACUUGCAGAUUUUCUUAUACAUGCUUUCUAGUUGCUACAGUGUUCUUUCACUCUUACAUUCUCUGGUCAUUCUCAUCUAUUUUACACUCGAAACAUGAUGCCAUAACAAUGAGCGUCACAAACUUGUAGCUACAUGCAGUUGAUUUGUGACAUGGGUAUUGUUAAAACAUGAUACUCCCAAUGUAGGUUUUGAGAUUCUAUUAACAGCUGUCUAAAGUAAAUGAGCUGUUGUUAUUUAGAGCAUCUUUGCUUGUCCAUUCUACCAUUUUACUGGUCUUUACCAAAUUCUUAUUUUCAACGUAUGCUUUUCCAGUGCUGUUGCUUGGUGUGGUAAGCUGAACGCGAUAGCUUGUGCAUCAGAAACUUGUGCAAGAAUUCCCAGGUCAGUGGAUUUUUGGAUUCUAACAUGUUUCAGUUUAAUAGGGGAGAGCAUUGGCUAUACAUUGUUGAGAAUUGGGCUUUCCUAUAAAUACGAUAAUGUGCUUGAGAACAGACGUUGAAACAUGAUUGAUAUUUGCUAUAGUGAACUAUUUCGGGUUCUUCUAAUUAAAAUAUAAGAUUGUACCCAAGAUGGACUCAUAUUUUUUCAAUUAAUAUUUUAAUAUCAUCAUUUGCUAUUUUUUUUUGCAGCUCCAAUGCAAACCCACCAUUUUGGAUCCCCAUACACGUGGUUAUCCCUGAGAGACCAACUGAAUGUGCAGUUUUCAAUGUCAUAGCAGGUAUUUUGAGUCACCUUGCACCGUUUACCAUGUCUUCCUUUUUUUAAGUUUUAAUUAGUCAUGUAUGCCGAGUGUAUUUCAUUCAUCUAUUAAAUGUUAGAUUUCUCACUGAUUUAUUACUUCCCUCUUUCUAUUGGGCUCUAAUUUCCCAUUUUCGAGUUAUUGAAUUGGAUCCCUUUGCAGAUUCUCCUCGUGAUUCUGUUCAGUUUAUCGAAUGGUCCCCUACUUCUUGCCCUCGUGCAUUAUUAAUAGCUAAUUUCCAUGGGAGGAUAACUAUCUGGACUCAACCUUCUCAAGUAAGCUAACUUGAGGAUUGUUUAAGCUAGAUAUAAAAUAAGUAGAUGCCUUUUCCACUCACUUGUUCAUAACAACUAAGCUUUUCAUGGCUUGCUCAACGUAAGAGGUUUGGGGCUGGCCCUGUUUUUGUUUUUACCCAUUGAUCUCUCUCUGUUUAUAUGCAUACCACUUGCUUAUAAUUUUAAAUUCUCUUGUAGCUUACAUCUUAUCUGGUUGUGCAGUGUCCAUCUAAUUUGGUGCGUGAUGCUAGCUGCUGGCAGCGUGAGCAUGAAUGGCGACAGGACAUUGCAGUUGUUACUAAAUGGCUAUCUGGGGUCUCUCCAGUAUGCAGUUAUUAUGUUUUUGUUAUCUGAUUCUUAAAUUAUCCAUGUAUUAUGCUUUGCACAUAGGUUGUGGUGGUUUAGUAGUUAUCUAUAUUUCUCGGUUCUCUAGUUUAUCUCCAUUUUUUUAAAUUUGUGUUGGUAUUUUGUUAUACUUCCGCUGUAGUCCGACUUCUCUUAAAAAAUCAGUACAGGUGGCUUUCGUCAAAGUCCAGUACUCCCACAAACUCAAAGUCAGCUUUUGAGGAAAAAUUCCUUUCUCAGCAUUCUCAAACUUCAGGUUUGUUUUCAUGACUUAUCUUUAUAAGCGUUUGUAGAAGCUCAAGUGAGAGCUUUAAGCCCUGUUCCAUUUUUAGCUUGUAAGGGCCAUGCCUUCUGACUCGCAACUUAACAUCCAGUGAAUUAUAUCAUUUGACUGUUGCUUUGAGAAGAAUAGUUCAGGUUAUUUUCUGAACAGCUGUAAAUUUAGAACAGUAAUUUGGUUGUAGUUUCUGCUAUGGUUUUAUUCAUUACUGGUUGUAGUUUCUGCUAAGAAUUUAUUCAUUAUUGGAUCAACAUCUAACUACUGUAUCGUGAAUGUUCCUAGAAAGAUGAAAUGUAUGUCAAGCACAAAAACUCUUAAUUUAAGAAUUUUUAAUAUCUGCCAUUUUUUGUCCUAAAUACAAGAAUGAACCGGUGCUUUUAACCGACUAUUGACCACUGCUGCUAGUGCUAGGUAUUCCAAUAAUGAUGUUAAUACUUUUGGUUUUCUGUUCUUUCUGCUUUUGAGGUACCUCCACUUGACAUAUUAAAACAGCCCCAAGACCAUCACUAACAUGCUUUCUGUUUUUCUUUCAGCUAGAUGGCCGAAUUUCCUCUGUGUUUGUUCAGUUUUCUCAUCGGGUUGUGUUCAACUUCAUUGGCCCCAGUGGCCCCCUAGCCAGAAUAAUACAUCACUGAAGUGGUUUUGCACGAGCAAAGGACUCUUGGGUGCCGGCCCUAGUGGGAUUAUGGCUGCUGAUGCUAUUAUAACAGAUAGUGGUGCAAUGCAUGUUGCAGGUGUUCCCAUUGUAAACCCUUCAACUGUUGUUGUUUGGGAGGUUACUCCUGGCCCUGGAAAUGGAUUUCAAGCAACUCCAAUGGCGAGUGCUAGCAAUGGGGUCCCGCCUUCAGUUAAGUCACCCAAUUGGUCAGGUUUUGCUCCUUUGGCUGCAUAUUUAUUCAGCUGGCAAGAGCAUCUGAUGUCUGAAACAAUGCGAGGGAAAAAGCAUAUGGAUAAAGAUUUCACCGACACUGUCUCACUUCAUUGUUCGCCAGUUUCAAAUUUUUCUGCAUAUGUGAGUCCUGAGGCUGCAGCUCAAUCUGCAGCAACUACCACUUGGGGUUCUGGAGUCAGUGCCGUUGCUUUUGAUCCGACUCAUGGUGGCUCUGUGAUUGCGGUUGUUAUAGUUGAGGGUACCUACCUGUAUUCUGAAUUCAAAUUUUAUUUUUUGCCUAUUCCAUAUUUUUCCCAUAAGAAAUCCUCUUUCAGUAUGUUUUUAUAUAGUUUGUGUGAUUAUGCUUGUGCAACAGUGUUCUGGGCUCUCUUUCUCCCUCAACUCAAAUUAAUACUCAUAUUCUUACAGAGAUGUGAAGCUAAACUUUCAUGUUCAAGUCAGCUGAAGAUCCCUUUCUAUGCCCACAGUUAUCUGGAUUCAAUAUAAUAAUAACUAGUUUUACGCCUGCAGGACAAUAUAUGUCCCCUUAUGAUCCAGAUGAGGGUCCUUUAAUCACGGGAUGGAGGGUGCAACGAUGGGAAUCGUCCCUUCAACCUGUCGUACUUCAUCCAAUAUUUGGAAAUCCCACUUCUGGUUUUGGUGGGCAGGCACCCGUGCAAACUGUAUGGGUAUCCAAAGUGGAUACAAGCAUACCACCAACUAAUGAUUUUAAAAAUUUCCAAGCAGCUCCUGCAGUACCAAUCUCAGAUGCAAGAAAGGCAUCUGAUUCUGGUUCUGAGAAGACGAAAAGAGUCUCCUUUGAUCCCUCUGAUCUGCCCAGCGAUGUUAGAACUCUUGCUCGAAUUGUUUAUUCUGCUCAUGGUGGCGAGAUUGCUAUUGCUUUUCUGCGGGGUGGAGUUCACAUUUUCUCUGGGCCAAACUUCACACUUGUUGACAACUACCAGAUUAAUGUUGGAUCUGCAAUUGCUGCUCCUGCCUUCUCUUCCACAAGCUGCUGCUCAGCUUCAGUUUGGCAUGACACUAGGAAGGAUCGCAGUAUUGAAGAUAAUUCGUGUUCUUCCUCCUGCUGUUCCAAUUAGUCAGGUGAAGGCUAACUCAGCAAUCUGGGAGCGUGCUAUUGCUGAAAGGUACUUAGUAAGAGUCCUUUGUUUGGGAAUUAGUUUGGAAAUCCACAUGUUAGUGGUUAUGGCAUUUCCUUUUGUUAAAAAUCAGAUGAAGGUUGGAUGUGCAGAUAAUUUCAACAUUCUGGUUGGUCAUGCUGAUAUUGUGUUUUGCCAGAGCAGGUUUUGGUGGAGCCUUUUGGUUGGUGUUGAUUGGUGGGAUGCUGUUGGCUGUACACAGAGUGCUGCUGAGGAUGGCAUCGGUAAGAAUAAUUUGAUUCUCCAGUAUUACCGUGGCUUAUAGAAAAGAAAAAAAUAUAUUGAAGAACAAUUUUUUCCCAAGGAUUCCUAUUCUAGAUUUCUUUGCAAGUAACAUGAAUCCAUGGUAAGAUCUUAUGUUGAUGGCUGGUUCUUCGUUUCUUUUCAGUUUCACUUAACAGUGUCAUUGCAGUCUUGGAUGCUGAUUUUCAUUCUCUUCCCUCUACACAGCACAGGCAGCUGUAUGGCCCUGUAUGUUUUUCUGUGUGAUUACCAUCUCAUCAUUAUUUCUUUUGAGAUAGUCUGUCAUUAUGAUAUUUGGAAUUACAAUAUUGAAAGAACGCAUCUAAUCCUUUUUAUGUUUGCAGUUCCUUUCUCUGAAAUUUUCCAUGUCAACCUCUUUUUAUUAUUUUUUUGGAAAUAGGACGUGCCAUGGUGGCCCAAUCCCCCCCCACCCCCCCAAAAAAAAAAAAAAAAAACAAUUUCUAAUUUUGACAGUUAGCAAGGGCAUCUAGAAUAUUCUAUUGCUGCUAGCCUAGGUCUUGUAAAAUAUUCGACUUGGACUGGACGUAGAAUGGUCUUGUGGCACAUUACAUAAUUUAUGACAUGUAAUGUGCGCCUCAUAAGCAUACAUGGUAUAUCGUUGCACAUUAUAACCCAAAAAUCCCAUGCAAGACAUGCAUCACAAUCAAAUUAGGAAAUAAGAUAAAACAGCAUACUUUAAUUCUCAUCCCACUUGAUUAACCUAUGACAUUGCUUUUCCUUUAAUUUUGUGGUGACAAUUCAAAGCUCCUGUUACUGGCUGUCCCAUUUUCUAGAAUGCAUUUGGCUGGGCAAGUAAACUUGUUUUUUAAUGAUGCAGAGUCUGGACAGGAUAAAAUGUAGGCUACUGGAAGGUACAAAUGCUCAGGAGGUUAGGGCAAUGGUUCUUGACAUGCAAGCCAGGUUGCUGCUUGAUAUGCUCGGCAAAGGCAUUGAGUCAGCUUUGAUAAAUCCUUCAGCAUUAGUACCUGAACCAUGGCAGGCUUCUGGCGAGACAUUAUCUGGCAUUGAUCCUGAAGCAAUGACUGUUGAGCCAAACCUUGUUCCGAAUAUUCAGGUUUGCUCUUUUCUCUCUAUUAUCUCAUGUUAAGUUUUGGGUCCUGUUGAAGUUUUUAGUACGGAAGAUCUACUCCUACCAGCAAUAUGUGGCUUACUCAUGGCCUGAUUGCCAGUGAUAAGAUGCCUAUAUCUGAUACAUUAAAUGUGUGAUGAUGGUUGAAUGGCUUGGGCUGUACCUUGGCUUUUAUGGCCUGGAAACUGAUGCCUGAACAAACAAUAUAUGUGUGGCAGUUUAGGCUUGAUAGUCUGCUGUAUCCAAGCACUCAGACUGAGCUGGUUGGAUAUUUCCCUGCCUCCAGUCAGCUCAAACUUCUGCCCUUGUUGAUGCAGGUUUAUUUGUUAAUUUUCUCUAACUGUGUUAAUUUCAUGCAGGCUUAUGUUGAUGCAGUUCUUGAUCUAGCUUCACAUUUUAUCACACGUCUACGGCGUUAUGCAAGUUUCUGUCGCACACUGGCCAGUCACGCGGUUACAGCAGGCGCAGGCAGUAACCGCAAUACGGUGACUAGUCCUUCUCAAAGUUCGGCAUCGCCCGCACCAAAUCAGGGUUAGUAUGCAGUGUCUAGUGUUCAUCUUUAUAAAGGAGAAAGAUAAAAUUCCUUUAUUCCAUAAUUUUGUGUUUGCUAAGUUUUGUGGUGUCCACCUUCAAAAGCUUGUGGAGUCCUGUAAUAUGAGCUUUACUGCUUAAGAGGUUACUGCCAUAGUCUCUGGGAAAAUUCCAUAAAAACUCUUAUAUUCUUUCUCUCACUCUCUAAUGGUUAUUAUGUUUAACACAGUUUUCUAAUGCAUUUUCUCCAGGUGGUCAAAGUGGCGGUACAAGUUCUACUGGAAGCACUCAGAUGCAAGCUUGGGUACAAGGUGCCAUUGCUAAGAUUAGUAGCACAACUGAUGGAGUGUCCACUGCAACACCAAACCCCAUAAGUGGUCCAUCUUCUUUCAUGCCAAUAAGCAUCAAUACUGGAACUUUUCCUGGAACCCCAGCAGUGAGGCUCAUCGGUGACUGCCAUUUCCUUCACAGAUUAUGCCAGCUUCUGCUUUUCUGUUUUUUCUUUCGGCGAACUCAACUACCUCGCUUUGCCGGAGGUACACAGAGAAAUCCCACUGAUACAAAUGUGCAAAAACCUCAGUCUGGUGCUCCUGGCAAGGUGGAGGAGAUCAACUCUGUUUCUUCAAAGCCAGCACCAGCUGUGGUCAGGUCGGAUGAAG
Molecule: long non-coding RNA, 18207 nt
Filed under: Populus tremula
Lineage: Eukaryota; Viridiplantae; Streptophyta; Magnoliopsida; Malpighiales; Salicaceae
Description: long non-coding RNA (PTRE_LNC002121)
Source: RNAcentral